RNAcentral lists this microRNA precursor (194 nucleotides) under Olea europaea subsp. europaea. RNAcentral's name for it is "MIR159 microRNA precursor family". It matches the Rfam family "MIR159 microRNA precursor family". Lineage: Eukaryota; Viridiplantae; Streptophyta; Magnoliopsida; Lamiales; Oleaceae. The record is from Rfam by way of RNAcentral.
CAAUGGCUAGAGGAGCUCCCUUCAGUCCAAGCACAGAAAAAGAAGGAUGGGAACUAUCUCCCGCAUCAUUCACUCAAUCACAGUAGCGUUAAACUUUUCGUGUCUACUGAGUGAUUAAAUGAAUGAGUCGGCAGCUAAUUCAACCCCUCAUCUCAUCCAUGAGUGGACAGAAGGAAGCUCUCUUAGACCAUCUC